This 492-nucleotide ribosomal RNA is filed under the name uncultured bacterium. RNAcentral's name for it is "partial 16S ribosomal RNA". It matches the Rfam family "Bacterial small subunit ribosomal RNA", at positions 29 to 507 of the family's 1533-position model. The record is from RNAcentral.
AGUGAACGCUGGCGGUAGGCCUAACACAUGCAAGUCGAACGGCAGCACAGUAAGAGUUUGCUCUUACGGGUGGCGAGUGGCGGACGGGUGAGGAAUACAUCGGAAUCUACUUUUUCGUGGGGGAUAACGUAGGGAAACUUACGCUAAUACCGCAUACGACCUACGGGUGAAAGCAGGGGAUCUUCGGACCUUGCGCGAUUGAAUGAGCCGAUGUCGGAUUAGCUAGUUGGCGGGGUAAAGGCCCACCAAGGCGACGAUCCGUAGCUGGUCUGAGAGGAUGAUCAGCCACACUGGAACUGAGACACGGUCCAGACUCCUACGGGAGGCAGCAGUGGGGAAUAUUGGACAAUGGGCGUAAGCCUGAUCCAGCCAUACCGCGUGGGUGAAGAAGGCCUUCGGGUUGUAAAGCCCUUUUGUUGGGAAAGAAAAGCAGCAGGUUAAUACCCCGCUGUUCUGACGGUACCCAAAGAAUAAGCACCGGCUAACUUCGUG